RNAcentral lists this ribosomal RNA (780 nucleotides) under uncultured bacterium. RNAcentral describes it as "bacterial SSU rRNA". It matches the Rfam family "Bacterial small subunit ribosomal RNA", at positions 478 to 1260 of the family's 1533-position model. The record is from RNAcentral.
GUCGGAGAGGAAGGGGCGGCUAACUCUGUGCCAGCAGCCGCGGUGAUACAGAGGCCCCAAGCGUUGUUCGGAUUUACUGGGCGUAAAGGGUGUGUAGGGGGUCGGGCCAGUCCGAUGUGAAAUCCCGUUGCUUAACAACGGAACUGCAUCGGAUACUACUCGGCUAGAGGUUCGGAGAUGAGGGCGGAAUUCUCGGUGUAGCGGUGAAAUGCGUAGAUAUCGAGAGGAACGCCGACGGCGAAAGCAGCCCUCAAGACGGAAUCUGACCCUGAGACACGAAGGCCAGGGGAGCAAACGGGAUUAGAUACCCCGGUAGUCCUGGCAGUAAACGGUGCUCAUUAGACGUAGGCGGAUUCGACCCCGUCUGUGUCGAACCUAACGGAUUAAAUGAGCCGCCUGGGAAGUACGGCCGCAAGGUUAAAACUCAAAGAAAUUGACGGGGGCCCGCACAAGCGGUGGAGUAUGUGGCUUAAUUCGAUGCAACGCGAAGAACCUUACCUGGCCUUGACAUGCAAAGUUCAGGCGUGGAAACACGCUGGCCCGCAAGGGCGAUUUGCACAGGUGCUGCAUGGCUGUCGUCAGCUCGUGUCGUGAGAUGUUGGGUUAAGUCCCGCAACGAGCGCAACCCUCGUGGUUAGUUAAUCCUGGGAAACCAGGAUUCUGACCAGACUGCCCUGUGAAACGGGGAGGAAGGUGGGGACGACGUCAAGUCCGUAUGGCCCUUACGGCAGGGCUGCACACGUACUACAAUGCCCACUACAGAGGGACGCAAAGCCGCAA